CCCUGCACUCUGGGACAAGCCCUGGAAACGGGGUCUAAUACCGGAUAUGACCAUCUUGGGCAUCCUUGAUGGUGUAAAGCUCCGGCGGUGCAGGAUGAGCCCGCGGCCUAUCAGCUUGUUGGUGAGGUAAUGGCUCACCAAGGCGACGACGGGUAGCCGGCCUGAGAGGGCGACCGGCCACACUGGGACUGAGACACGGCCCAGACUCCUACGGGAGGCAGCAGUGGGGAAUAUUGCACAAUGGGCGAAAGCCUGAUGCAGCGACGCCGCGUGAGGGAUGACGGCCUUCGGGUUGUAAACCUCUUUCAGCAGGGAAGAAGCGAAAGUGACGGUACCUGCAGAAGAAGCGCCGGCUAACUACGUGCCAGCAGCCGCGGUAAUACGUAGGGCGCGAGCGUUGUCCGGAAUUAUUGGGCGUAAAGAGCUCGUAGGCGGCUUGUCACGUCGGUUGUGAAAGCCCGGGGCUUAACCCCGGGUCUGCAGUCGAUACGGGCAGGCUAGAGUUCGGUAGGGGAGAUCGGAAUUCCUGGUGUAGCGGUGAAAUGCGCAGAUAUCAGGAGGAACACCGGUGGCGAAGGCGGAUCUCUGGGCCGAUACUGACGCUGAGGAGCGAAAGCGUGGGGAGCGAACAGGAUUAGAUACCCUGGUAGUCCACGCCGUAAACGGUGGGCACUAGGUGUGGGCAACAUUCCACGUUGUCCGUGCCGCAGCUAACGCAUUAAGUGCCCC
Molecule: ribosomal RNA, 729 nt
Filed under: Streptomyces sp.
Lineage: Bacteria; Bacillati; Actinomycetota; Actinomycetes; Kitasatosporales; Streptomycetaceae
Description: bacterial SSU rRNA
Rfam family: Bacterial small subunit ribosomal RNA
Source: RNAcentral